UCCCCAUGAGGAAACAUCCACAUGUCUUACUUCCUGUACUAGCCCCAGAGCCUGAAAAGGUGAACCCACUGGGGCUGGCUGGGGGAAAGGAGGAAAACUUGUUCCAGAAGGAACUGUCUGAGGGAU
Small nucleolar RNA from Acomys russatus (golden spiny mouse), 126 nucleotides. RefSeq annotates it as small nucleolar RNA SNORD22. The transcript has a single exon. NCBI's taxonomy places the organism in Eukaryota, Metazoa, Chordata, Mammalia, Rodentia, Muridae. The record is from RefSeq and is a predicted model, not a curated record.